This 433-nucleotide ribosomal RNA is filed under the name uncultured bacterium. Its description in RNAcentral is "partial 16S ribosomal RNA". It matches the Rfam family "Bacterial small subunit ribosomal RNA", at positions 29 to 507 of the family's 1533-position model. The record is from RNAcentral.
AACGAACGCUGGCGGCAUGCCUAACACAUGCAAGUCGAACGAGGCCUUCGGGCGUAGUGGCGCACGGGUGAGUAACGCGUGGGAACCUGCCCUUAGGUUCGGAAGAACUCCCCGAAAGGGGUGCUAAUACCGGAAAAUGUCUUCGGACCCAAGAUUUAUCGCGUUUGGAUGGGCCCGCGUUUGAUUAGCUAGUUGGUAGGGUAAAAGCAUACCAAGGCUGGGAUGCUUAGCUGGUCUGAGGGGAUGAUCAGCCACGCUGGGACUGAGACACGGCCCAGACUCGGACGGGAGGGAGCAGUGGGGAAUAUUGGAGGAGGGGGGAAAGCGUGACGAAGCAGUGCCGGGGGAGAGAGGAAGGCCGUAGGGUUGUAAAGCUCUCUGACCCGGGAUGAUAAUGACGGUACCGGGAGAAUAAGCACCGGCUAACUACGUG